UAACUGAAGAGUUUGAUCAUGGCUCAGAUUGAACGCUGGCGGCAGGCUUAACACAUGCAAGUCGAGCGGGGGAAGGUAGCUUGCUCCUGGAUUCAGCGGCGGACGGGUGAGUAAUGCUUAGGAAUCUGCCUAUUAGUGGGGGACAACAUCUCGAAAGGGAUGCUAAUACCGCAU
This 174-nucleotide ribosomal RNA is filed under the name Enterobacter hormaechei. RNAcentral's name for it is "partial 16S ribosomal RNA". It matches the Rfam family "Bacterial small subunit ribosomal RNA", at positions 1 to 174 of the family's 1533-position model. Lineage: Bacteria; Pseudomonadati; Pseudomonadota; Gammaproteobacteria; Enterobacterales; Enterobacteriaceae. The record is from RNAcentral.